This 497-nucleotide ribosomal RNA is filed under the name uncultured bacterium. Its description in RNAcentral is "partial 16S ribosomal RNA". It matches the Rfam family "Bacterial small subunit ribosomal RNA", at positions 28 to 507 of the family's 1533-position model. The record is from RNAcentral.
GAUGAACGCUGGCGGCGGGCCUAACACAUGCCAGUCGAGCGGAAGCACGAGAAGCUUUCUUUCUUGAUGUUAGCGGGGGACGGGUGAGUGACACGUGGAUAACCUUCCUAUAUGACUGGGGUAACUUCGUGGAAACGGUGCCAAUACCGGCUAAUAUUUUCAACCGCAUAGAGCAAAAGUUAUAGGCGGCUUUCCCGUCACUUUUAGCCGGUUCCGCGCUGCAUUAGCUAGUUGGUAAGGUAACGGCUUACCAAGGCGACGAUGCAUAGCCGACCUGAGAGGAUGAUCAGCCACACUGGAACUGAGACACGGUCCAGACUCCUACGGGAGGCAGCAGUGGGGAAUAUUGCGCAAUGGGCGAAAGCCUGACGGAGCAAUGCCGCGUGAGUGAAGAAGGCCUUCGGGUCGUAAAGCUCUGUUAUUGGGGAAGAACAGAUGUAUGUGAAUAUCUGGACAUCUUGACGGUACCUAAAGAAAAAGCCCCGGCUAACUACGUG